UGAGCAAUCUGCCCUUCUCAUCGGAAUAAGCGUUGGAAACGACGUCUAAUGCCGAAUACGACCUCCUUUCGCAUGAUCGGAGGUGGAAAGCUCCGGCGGAGAAGGAUGAGCUCGCGGCCUAUCAGCUAGUUGGUGUGGGUAAUGGCCCACCAAGGCGACGACGGGUAGCCGGCCUGAGAGGGUGACCGGCCACACUGGGACUGAGACACGGCCCAGACUCCUACGGGANACAG
Molecule: ribosomal RNA, 233 nt
Filed under: uncultured bacterium
Lineage: Bacteria
Description: partial 16S ribosomal RNA
Rfam family: Bacterial small subunit ribosomal RNA
Source: RNAcentral